GAUGAACGCUGGCGGCGUGCCUAAUACAUGCCAGUCGAGCGAACAGACGAGGAGCUUGCUCCUUUGACGUUAGCGGCGGACGGGUGAGUAACACGUAGGUAACCUACCUAUAAGACUGGGAUAACUUCGGGAAACCGGAGCUAAUACCGGAUAAUAUUUCGAACCGCAUGGUUCGAUAGUGAAAGAUGGCUUUGCUAUCACUUAUAGAUGGACCUGCGCCGUAUUAGCUAGUUGGUAAGGUAACGGCUUACCAAGGCAACGAUACGUAGCCGACCUGAGAGGGUGAUCGGCCACACUGGAACUGAGACACGGUCCAGACUCCUACGGGAGGCAGCAGUAGGGAAUCUUCCGCAAUGGGCGAAAGCCUGACGGAGCAACGCCGCGUGAGUGAUGAAGGUCUUCUGAUCGUAAAACUCUGUUAUUAGGGAAGAACAAACGUGUAAGUAACUGUGCACGUCUUGACGGUACCUAAUCAGAAAGCCACGGCUAACUACGUG
RNAcentral lists this ribosomal RNA (497 nucleotides) under uncultured bacterium. RNAcentral's name for it is "partial 16S ribosomal RNA". It matches the Rfam family "Bacterial small subunit ribosomal RNA", at positions 28 to 507 of the family's 1533-position model. The record is from RNAcentral.